AGGACGACGCUGGCGGCGUGCCUAAUACAUGCAAGUCGAACGGUCUUUCUAUGGAAGCUUGCUUCCACUGAGAAGAUAGUGGCGAACGGGUGAGUAACACGUGGGUAACCUGCCCAUAAGAGGGGGAUAACAUCCGGAAACGGGUGCUAAUACCGCAUAGUUUUCUUGAUCGCAUGAUCGGGAAAGGAAAGACGGCCUUUGUGCUGUCGCUUAUGGAUGGACCCGCGGCGUAUUAGUUAGUUGGUGAGGUAACGGCUCACCAAGACGAUGAUACGUAGCCGACCUGAGAGGGUGAUCGGCCACAUUGGGACUGAGACACGGCCCAAACUCCUACGGGAGGCAGCAGUAGGGAAUCUUCCGCAAUGGACGAAAGUCUGACGGAGCAACGCCGCGUGAGUGAAGAAAAGGUUUUCGGAUCGUAAAACUCUGUUGUCAGAGAAGAACAAGUUGGAGAGUAACUGCUCCAGCCUUGACGGUAUCUGACCAGAAAGCCACGGCUAACUACGUGCCAGCCGCUGC
Molecule: ribosomal RNA, 519 nt
Filed under: uncultured bacterium
Lineage: Bacteria
Description: bacterial SSU rRNA
Rfam family: Bacterial small subunit ribosomal RNA
Source: RNAcentral